GAGUUUGAUCCUGGCCCAGGAUGAACGCUGGCGGCGUGCUUAACACAUGCAAGUCGAACGAAGCACUUUACCUUGAUUCCUUCGGGUUGAUUGGUACUGUGACUGAGUGGCGGACGGGUGAGUAACGCGUGGGUAACCUGCCCCAUACAGGGGGAUAACAGAUAGAAAUGUCUGCUAAUACCGCAUAAGACCACAGCGCCGCAUGGCGCAGGGGUAAAAACUCCGGUGGUAUGGGAUGGACCCGCGUCUGAUUAGCUAGUUGGUGGGGUAAAGGCCCACCAAGGCGACGAUCAGUAGCCGACCUGAGAGGGUGACCGGCCACAUUGGGACUGAGACACGGCCCAAACUCCUACGGGAGGCAGCAGUGGGGAAUAUUGCACAAUGGGGGAAACCCUGAUGCAGCAACGCCGCGUGAGUGAAGAAGUAUUUCGGUAUGUAAAGCUCUAUCAGCAGGGAAGAAGAAAGACGGUACCAGACUAAGAAGCCCCGGCUAACUACGUGCCAGCAGCCGCGGUAAUACGUAGGGGGCAAGCGUUAUCCGGAUUUACUGGGUGUAAAGGGAGCGUAGACGGCUGUGCAAGUCUGAAGUGAAAGCCCGU
RNAcentral lists this ribosomal RNA (599 nucleotides) under uncultured bacterium. Its description in RNAcentral is "bacterial SSU rRNA". It matches the Rfam family "Bacterial small subunit ribosomal RNA", at positions 9 to 605 of the family's 1533-position model. The record is from RNAcentral.